RNA transcript from Mustela lutreola (European mink), 11004 nucleotides. It is a transcript of the gene named solute carrier organic anion transporter family member 3A1, with no coding region annotated. The transcript has 11 exons. Lineage: Eukaryota; Metazoa; Chordata; Mammalia; Carnivora; Mustelidae. The record is from RefSeq and is a predicted model, not a curated record.
GGGGGCGAGCGCGCGCGGCGGCGGCGGCGGCGGUGGCGGCGGCUGCGAGGAGCUGUGCCUUUCACCUCUUCAGCCCCGGCAGGACAGGGGCGGCCGCCGCGGGCCCGGGGCGGGGACAGCACGCAGGCUCGUCGCGCACACCGCCGCCCGGCAGCGGCCCCGAUACCCGGGGCGAGCGGGAAAGCGGCGGCGGCCGCGGCGGCGGGGGAAGGAUGCAGGGGAAGAAGCCGGGCGGCUCGUCGGGCGGCGGCCGGAGCGGCGAGCUGCAGGGGGACGAGGCGCAGAGGAACAAGAAGAAGAAAAAGAAGGUGUCCUGCUUCUCCAACAUCAAGAUCUUCCUGGUGUCUGAGUGCGCCCUGAUGCUGGCGCAGGGCACGGUGGGCGCCUACCUGGUGAGCGUCCUGACCACCCUGGAGCGGAGGUUCAACCUGCAGAGCGCGGACGUGGGCGUGAUCGCCAGCAGCUUCGAGAUCGGGAACCUGGCGCUCAUCCUCUUCGUGAGCUACUUCGGGGCGCGCGGGCACCGGCCGCGCCUCAUCGGCUGCGGCGGCAUCGUCAUGGCCCUGGGCGCGCUGCUGUCGGCGCUGCCGGAGUUCCUGACCCACCAGUACAAGUACGAGGCGGGCGAGAUCCGCUGGGGCGCCGAGGGCCGCGACGUCUGCGCCGCCAACGGCUCGGGUGGCGACCAGGGCCCCGACCCGGACCUCAUCUGCCGCAGCCGAACCGCCACCAACAUGAUGUACUUGCUGCUCAUUGGGGCCCAGGUGCUCCUGGGCAUCGGUGCUACCCCCGUGCAGCCUCUGGGCGUCUCCUACAUCGACGACCACGUGCGGAGGAAGGACUCCUCGCUCUACAUAGGAAUCCUUUUCACGAUGCUGGUAUUUGGACCAGCCUGUGGAUUUAUCCUGGGCUCUUUCUGUACCAAAAUGUACGUGGAUGCCGUCUUCAUUGACACAAGUAACCUGGACAUCACUCCAGACGACCCCCGCUGGAUCGGAGCCUGGUGGGGUGGCUUUCUGCUCUGCGGUGCCUUACUCUUCUUCUCUUCCCUCUUGAUGUUCGGGUUUCCACAGUCUCUGCCCCCGCACUCAGACCCUGCCAUGGAGAGCGAGCAGGCCAUGCUCCCCGAAAGAGAGUACGAGAGACCCAAGCCCAGCAACGGGGUCCUGAGGCACCCCCUGGAGCCGGACAGCAGCGCCUCCUGCUUCCAGCAGCUGAAAGUGAUCCCGAAGGUCACCAAGCACCUGCUCUCAAACCCUGUGUUCACCUGCAUCAUCCUGGCCGCUUGCAUGGAGAUCGCGGUGGUGGCUGGCUUUGCUGCCUUCUUGGGGAAGUACCUGGAGCAGCAGUUUAACCUUACCACCUCUUCUGCCAACCAGCUGCUCGGGAUGACUGCGAUCCCCUGUGCCUGCCUGGGGAUCUUCUUGGGUGGUCUCCUGGUGAAGAAGCUCAGUCUUUCUGCCCUCGGGGCCAUUCGGAUGGCCAUGCUCGUCAACCUGGUGUCCACAGCUUGCUACGUCUCCUUCCUCUUCCUGGGCUGCGACACGGGCCCCGUGGCUGGGGUUACUGUUCCCUAUGGAAACACCUCAGCCCCUGGCUCGGCCCUGGACCCCUACUCACCCUGCAAUAAAAACUGUGAAUGCCAAACCGAUUCCUUCACGCCAGUGUGCGGGGCCGAUGGCGUCACCUACCUGUCUGCCUGCUUUGCUGGCUGCAACAGCACGAAUCUCACCGGCUGUGCGUGCCUCACGACCGUCCCGCCCGAGAACACGACUGUGGUUCCUGGAAAGUGCCCCAGUCCCGGGUGCCAAGAGGCCUUCCUCACCUUCCUGUGUGUGAUGUGUGUCUGCAGCAUGAUCGGGGCAAUGGCACAGACACCCUCGGUCAUCAUCCUUAUCAGGACAGUCAGCCCUGAACUCAAGUCUUACGCCCUGGGAGUCCUGUUCCUCCUCCUCCGUUUGUUGGGCUUCAUCCCCCCUCCCCUCAUCUUCGGGGCCGGCAUCGACUCCACCUGCCUGUUCUGGAGCACGUUCUGCGGGGAGCAAGGCGCCUGUGUCCUGUACGACAACGUGGCCUACAGAUACCUGUACGUCAGCAUCGCCAUCGUGCUGAAGUCGUCCGCCUUCGUCCUCUACACGACCACGUGGCAGUGCCUGCGGAAAAACUAUAAACGCUACAUCAAAAACCACGAGGGCGGGCUGAGCACCAGUGAGUUCUUUGCCUCUACUCUGACCCUAGACAAUCUGGGGAGGGACCCUGUGCCCGCAAGCCAGACCCAUAGGACAAAAUUUAUCUAUAACCUUGAAGAUCAUGAGUGGUGUGAAAACAUGGAGUCCGUUUUAUAGUGGUGGAAGGAGGUUGAACUCUGUAUUAGUAAUCCAAGGGUCAUUUUUCCUAGGAAAAAAAAAAAAAAGUUAAAAAAAAAACCAACUCCGUACAGAGACACACACACAUACACACACACACACACACACACACAUACACACAACACGACCUUUGUCCUCUUAAAAUCAGAGCCAGACAGAAUUCAGAAUAAGGAGAGCGUGGGAUCGUGUGUCUGACGUCCAACCUGCUGGGGCCCAGAGUCUACUCUUUGAAGGCACCUCAUGCUUUUUCGGGAUGCCGACAGCUGCAAGCAACAAGCACUGCCAAUUUCAGGGAACAGUGGUGGCCAGCUUGGAGAAUGGACGUUUCUGGAGAUACAUAAUACACGUACAAAACAAAUUUUUUUUUAAAGUCUACUAAGCAUCACAAGUUGACAACAUGGCCAGGAUAAGCACUAGGGACACACACCCCCGUGCCACCUGCCCCCUCCUCGUGAGGGUGGGGAGCGGGCAAGGCGGAGGAGCGGGCGCCCCCUCCUCUAACCUCUCGCAAUAUGGGUCACGGUGUAGACGACUCACCCAGUCUGCCUGUGGUUCAAGGCCCCAGAGUUCUCUCAGCGAUGCUAAUGGGUGAUCCGUGCUGGAGUCUCUAACUGGCACCUCUCACCAGCUCCAUGUUCAUGUUCAAGACUGAGGGCCCAAGGGGGGGAGCCAGGCGUGGGGGGCCAGCACCUCAUCUCCCCCCACCGCAGCACCCCCCAGCCCCGCAGAGUGACCUCAGGAAGCAGUGGGCCUCGCCUGGCUAUGACUGACUUUGCUCAGAGCCGGUGAAACCCAUACAGUCCAAGUCAUUUGCUUACAUUUGCCAAACAUUUUGCCAUUUUUAAAGAAAAAAAAAAUGCAAUGCAUAUGAAUUUCAAACUGUUGUAUGUAUAAUCCUCUAAUACUAUUUUUAACCACUUCUAAAAUCCGUGUUAACCCUUCAAUCACUAACACAGUUCUCUAGGCUGAGUUUAUGACGCUGGUUGGUUUUUCCUUUCCUCCUUUUUUUAUGCACCAAAAAUAUAAUGUGAUUCAAGGGAUGCAAUUAAUCUAUUGUAAUUUUUUUUUAUCGUUUUAUCCUCAUUUGGAUAUUCUGCAAAAACAAGAAUAUACCAUGUGCUACGAGAAGGAAAAAAAAAAUGCUUGAGAAAGAGUGUCUAUGCAGCCUGCCUUUAAAAGAAUCACAUUUGAGACAACAGGGGAUAAUGUGAUGAAUUGCAAAUUCGCCUUCUGGCUUUAUUCCCCGUGAUUCAGUGAUCACUGUCACGGGAAGCCCUUUUAUAUUCAUGUUUCACAUUCCGAGAGGCGUUCUUCUCAGCUCGUGGAGGAGACACGCUUAGAUGUGGGCUGUGUGGAUGGGUGCGGUGCUUCUGGGGAUAGGCAAGAGAAGGGAUGGUCCCCUAGCACGAGCUGUCAAGCCAUUUGUGGGGUCUGUGUUGGUAAAUAGACCCACGGGGUCAUGGAAGGCACCGCAUGACCGAUGCAAUAAAAGGUCACUGUUUUUAGGGUCGGUCUUGAACGGAGAGACCUCGGUCUGUGUUCUGGGCGUGGCUAACUCUCCAGCAGCUAGCCGGCAAACCUCAUCGUUCGGGAGGGGAAUCGUGGGAAAAGCUCUUGGGAGUCCGCGGUAUCAGCCUCCUAAGGCCAUUCCCGUAAGAGGACAGAGCUUAUGGGAGAGCCCGCACGCGCACACACGUGGCCCAGUAAAUGUUCCUUUUGUGUUUCCUCGGUGACCUUGGUCCAGGCCACUCGUGGCCCUGAGAAAGAUCUCAAAGGUUGUUGGUUGGUUGGCUUUUUUGCCCGAGACCCAGAUGUGCAGUUCCCCCGGAGGGCAGCCAAAGAAUCAGGAAGGAAAGAAGAACGGCCGUUGGGCCCAAUUUCUCACACACGCUGUAAAAGGGGCCGUUCGUGCGACAGUCGGAAACUAGAGAAAGCCCCACCGAGCAAGGACGACUCAAAGAGAAGCUUGUGUCGUGGUGCGGGGCUGCCGCACCGUGAUCAGCUGCCUGGGGCAGGAUGCUUCCAAAACCACCCUUCUGUGUGUUUACUUCUAGUCCGUCCCUGUCCGUGAACAUGGGGACACUCAUCAGUAUGUUAACUAGUAAGAGGAGGGAUUGUUCUCCAACCAAUGCAUAAAAUAUGUAUGCUCUGUCAUUCCUAAGGCUUUGAAACUGUUCUGUACAGGUCUGGGGUGAGUUUUGUUUUGAAAUGUGUUGCUCAUAGGUCACUGCCUUCUGCGUAGCUCUCCAAACUCCGUUCACACACGCUGAGCCCCGCUGACCUUGUGUUUUCAUGGGGCCGUUGGCUUUAAAAAGAAAGUUUUUUUUGAAAACGGUUUGCAUUUUGGAUUUUUUUUUCCCCCUUGAGAUUUUAGGAUGAAGGAGAUGUUGAGCUGAAAAAGGAAAACACCUCCAGGGCUCAGUUUUGUCAGCAACGAGAUCUGAACUUAAAGUCCCCCAUUGCAAGAUGGCCGUAAAGCACGACGUGUCACCUUUUAGAGUUUUAACGUUUCUCCUCCUGCAGAACAGGAAGCCUAGCCUGGUGUUAGGUUUUUCCUUUUGUGCUACAAAGAACCAUUGUACGUACAGUGUUAGUUCUAGCCUCUCGGUCAUAUGUUUGGUUUUCAGAGGUAUUUUGAAUGAAAAGAUUUCCUGGCAAGAGCUCCAUUGGACUUAGAGAAAACAAAAACGUAAGGAUAGAAUAAACCUAGAAGGUGAACACCAAGCUUCUCUCUCUUUCCUGCUCCAAACUCCUCUGCCAUCAUAGUCAGACAUGCCCAGAGAUGGAUGAAAAAGCCUCCCUUAGCUGCAACUUAUGACAGAGGUUUUUAACUCUUACAUGUAGACCACGAAGCUUUUUUGACCUAUAUUAUUCCUGCACAUGAAGUCAACACAUUUCAUAAAAGUAGAUGUUUCUCUGGGACAUCUGGGUGUUCGGAGGCCACUGUCAGGGACGACCAGCAGCCUGGCCUGCUCCUUCACACUUCCACGGAGGAAGGCUGGGAAGCGUCAAGGCACACUGGGGCCAUCGCCACUCCAGAAGGCCACAGCAUGUGGGCUUUACCUCACAGCUAAUGAAGGAGCAAGAGAGGCCUCCUCUCCCAGUCCCCCUGUAAGGAGUUUGCUGGUAGUACUUAGCAGCCAAAAUAAUAAGGGGAAGCCAAGAGCUUCCAAGGAAUCCUUUGACAGGCUUGUUAAUGUCUUCCAAACAGGAAGGAGUGUGCCUCUCCAUAAAAAUCACUUCUUUCUCAACCACCUUACAGUACAAUAGCUUCCUCUAGAGAUGAUUUUUUUUUUUUUUUAAUUAGGCCUAUACAUUUUAAAGUGGUGUCUCUACAUUUAAAUCCCUGAUUUAAUCCCCUUCCCUGUCUUCAGGGAUGACCUAGAGUUUCCCCUCACUCAGGCAUGGUGAGAUUUCCCAUCCCUUUCCCCAUGGAAAGCUGCCACUCCCAGCAGGCUGCCGCACGCAGGCUUUCCUCACGGCUAAUGAAGGGGCAAGAGAGGUCCUCUGAGGGGACCUGCCGAAUUGUUCCAUACAGGGCUCCCGGCCAGUCCCUGGGAAUGAUGCCCCCCACCACCCCAGAGGCAUUUUCUCAGGAAUCAGGAUCAACCUGGUCGCUAAUGGAUUAUGUUCCACACUUCAAGAGCAGGUGGUUCCUUGAGGAACACGUGAAAUGGAGAAAAUAAAUGGCGCGCGUGUGUGUACGUAUACACACACAACACUCACAGAGAAACCCACUGAGGAAAAGUCGCUGUUGGCUUCCAGGAGCCUGCGAGGCUGGUUUUCUUGCUGCCUGCUGUUCAGGCCCUCACAAGGGGGAUCUCUUCUCCACCCAGUCAGGCCUGCCAGAGCCGUACUGGACUGGGCAGCAUUAAAGCAAUAAAGGUCGGUGUCGAGAAAUCAUACAGUCAAGAGCAGAGGGAGGAGGAGGCCAGGGGAAACUUCUCUUACAGUCUUGGUGGAGUACCCCUCAAGCGUUGUGUGUGUGGUUGGUGUGGUUUGAUUUAGAGGAAGGGAGAAAACCAGGAUUCGUUGUCUUGUGCUGUUCUUCUCUGCCCAUUUUGAUGGUUUCGGGAGAAAGUUCCAGACACACAGUAGGGUCUUGAUUGCUGAGUUCAUGCUGCUGCUCUCUCCCUCAGCCUCCUCUCGGCCAUGAGCUGUGUUUUCCUUUACGUCAGCAUCCAGGCCAAAUACUUAAGAAGUGCCACGCUUUCCAAGAGAAGGUGCUAGUGAAAAUUAAGUCCAGCCUGGAAAAUCAGUGUGGAACAUAAACCACCGUCCUCCGCUUCCUCCCUCUGCCCUUCCUCCUUGUUCGUUAUACCAUUGCUUCCAGCUCAGUCCACGUUGUUGAGUUCUGAACAGUGCGAGGACCUAACCUCUUGGAGCAACUUGCCCUAAAUGAUAGCCUUCAGACCCAGCCCCCUGGGGGAUUAUGGCUGCUCAUGAAUAAACCUGUAAAACUGAAGGAUCCCCAACUGGUAGAAUAUGCAAGAAGAUAUUUUUUGUUCAGAUGCCUCUUAUGGGGGCCUGUUGCCCAUGGUAACACAUGGAAACUACCUUGCCUGGCCACAGCCACCCACCCUCGCCUUCCUGUUCUCAAAUUUGUAGGGGAUAUCAGAGUGCUUGGUCAUCAUGGCAGAAAGGACAGCUAAAAGGCCUAAGAUGGAAAAUUCCAAAAAGCAAAGAUCUAUACCUCAGAGGUCUGGGACUGCCCUGGACGCAGGGAUCGAACUCCUCCUUCUCAGAGAUCAGGCACGUGGUAGCGUGAUUUCCCUUUGUAGGGUUAGUUUCAUCUGGGGAUGUACUGUAUGAGCUUGACCAUUUCUAAACAUGUAUUUAUUCAUUCAUUCCUUGAUGAAGAUUCUGGACCAGCUACAAAGAUGAAAAAGACACGAUCCCCUCCUCUAAGAGCUCACAGUUCAAUGAGCCACACAGACCUGAACACACACAAAAGCAAUAGAAUAACAAUAUUAAGAGACUAGCUCUGACUGGGCCCAAGGAGGGCGGAUUCAUGGUGAUGGGAAGUUCAGCCUCCUGGAUUCAGGAAUGAGGAAGUUUGGGGGCGGGGAGGGGGCAUGGGGCAUGGUCUAGAACCAAGAACCAAAGAGGAGUGGGGAUCUGCCAGAAAGAUGGGGCAGGAGGUCUGCUCUCCUGAGAUGACCUCAGGAACAAGUGGAUAGACUUUAUGUAAAAGGCUAGGUGGUAAGCAUUUUGAGGCUUUGAGAAGCAUACGGUGUCUGUCACAGCCACUCAACUCUGUUGUAGCGGGAGAGCAGCUCAUGUAUAAACAAACGCAUGAGCUGUAUCCCAAUAAAGCUUUAUUUACAAAGACAGUGGCCAAGGGCAGGAGUGUGCUGAGUUCUGAAGCAGCACUGCAUGUUGGGGGGGAGGGUGGGUUUCCAGCAGCGGAGACUGCUCUAGCAUGGACCAGGUCACGUGCUAGAGGGGGCCUACAGCCAGCUGUCCACCAGCCCUGACGUAUACUGUCCACAGGAGUCUAAGGCAGGUAUCCCAUUUUCCAAGAAUGAGGUAAGUAGCCCUGACUGGCAGGGUUUACAACGGAGGCAACAUCAUCUCUCUCUCAUAGGGGACUUUGAGCUGCAGCUCCUUUCAGCUCCGAUACUGCAUAGCUCUGCCACAGUAAUUGUCCUGUUUUCUUAGGUGGUGAAAUGGGUAUGGGGGAGGAAAUAAAGGAAUGAGUUUAAAUCCAAAUAGUAUUUCACACCCCUUCCCACCAACACGAAACAUUGGCACCGUGACGCUAAUACACCAGGUGGAGUAAUCGGUAAACACUAAUAAAAACUAAUAAUAAUAGUAGCUAACACUUACCGAGCACUUACUGUGAACCAGCUUCUUACACAUAGGAGCUCGUUUAAUCUCAACAAUAGCCCUGUGAGGCAGGAACUGUUAUUAGCAUCAGCGUACAGGAGAGGAGGCAGGGAAGGCUUCCAGAAUUGGCUCAAGGCCAUGAAGCAGAGCUGGGAUUCCAACCCACGUCUGUGUGGAUCCAAAGCCCGUGAUCUUGGGUUUACAGGUACCCCCGCCUACUGAGCAAGAAGUGAGACAGCCCUCUCCACCCAUAGGGACUGCCUCCUCCAGAGGACUCGGGCUUAAAUGGACUGUGGGUCCUACCCUCUCUCACAUGCCUCUUAAUAUAACCAGCAGGACACCAUGACAGCUGCCUUCUGGGGACUUCUUCCUGUGUUGUUCUGGGUCUUAACCACAGUGCCCAGUGAUCAAUUUCUAUGAGGUAUCCUACCAGAAGCCGACAAUAACAGGAAACAGGAGACUCCUCUGAUACAUUUUCUGACACAUCAGAGAGACAUUGCUCAGGGCUGGUCAUCAGCUUCAGUGGGGACACCCUAGACACUUCCCACAGGCACCGCCAUGUUCCUCAGCAUCAACCCCAGGAUUCUGGCUCUGGCCCAGGGCCUUCAGACAUACCAAUGCUGGCCAUUGCUUGGAUAGGUCUUACUCUAUGAUCAGAUACUAGACUUUUAGGAACAGACUUUCUAGAUGUUUCUAUUUUUGCAUUAAACUCAGGCCAACAAUUAGUAUUUGAUGUUUAGCAUAAAAUUCUGAAUAUUUUUCCAUAAGGCAAGGUGAUUGUGUUCUUCUUCAAAUAGAAUGGUAAAUUUUCUGGAGGUUUAAACAUUCUGUAGGUUGACAUCUUGCCAUUAAAUCCCCCAAAAUAAUGUUUUUUCUUAAAUUCAUGCUAACUUAAUAGAAGAGAGCUGUCACAGUGAUAGGUUCAUCAAAACUGUUCAAUUUUAUCAUCCAAGGUCAGAAGAUGAAUGGGAAGUAUGCAGUGUAGGAAGUUGCAUUACAGAAGGAACACAAGCAAGACAUAGGUUAGUCCGGCACCUCAAAAGAGGAAGGGGUUGGGGGGCUCACAUGUAAGAGCCUGCUACCUACAUGCCAGGCGUCCUAGGCAUGGUCCCAGGCAAUGCACCCAAGCAGCUUUACAGCAGGUAAAGGUAAGUCUAAUUUUUCCACUUUUACAGAUCAGUUAACUAGUUUACUGAAGGCUCCCAAGUUCACACAGGCCACCAGGAACCAAUGCCAGGUCUGUCUGACUCCCGAACCAGUGCUCUACUGCACCACGUCAUCACCAACUCAAAAGCACAGAUCUGCCUCUUAGGAAGCUCCGAUGCCAGCAGGGCAUCUCCUCUUGGGAAAACCCCCACAGAAAUCUGUAUUUCAUAGAGAAAUGAGCCAAGAGCCAGAGGUGAGACCUCUGCAAAAUUUUACAUAGGGCACAGGAAUCAAAAAUGAAAAAAAAAAAAAAAAAACUUUUACCUUAGUAAUGAAACAUCAAAGACCUUUAAACACACCCCUCCUUCCUUCUUCCAACUUAGCCACAUCGGUAGAAGUGUCCUGGCCACUCCUCGUCCCCUAUCUUGCUCAUUCUGGACACAAGAACCAGCUCCAACUCUUGCUUCUGUCCUACCCUGCCCAGCUCCCAGUUCCCCAGGCUUCCAGCAGAACCCGACCCCCACCAAGACCACAAGAACUUGAUCCUCACAGAAGUUGAGGAAGGAUCCUCUGAAUUGCUCUGAACACAGGGGCUGCCUCCUAUCAGCCAGAUCUCAGCUGCAAAAUCCUGAGGAAAAGAGUGACAUUUCCCCACUGUCACCUUUUCUGUCACCGGGUCAGAGUCUAAAGAGGACAAGUAAAUGAGUGGGGACUUGUAGGUCUCCACUGUGCCUAUCACUGAACAGCAGAGCCGCACGUCAUGCUCAGCGAGACCUACCCAGCUUGUAAAUCAUCCCAGGGACUAGCUGAGUUUUUAAUGUCUUUUAGAUGAAGCCACAACAUCUCUUUUGGAAGGGUGGCAUAGGCUCAAAAACCUUGCCCCAGUGAGGAGACUGUUUGACGCAGUGUGUGGUGCAUCCUGUGGCUGGAAAGAAAAGUGUCCAGGAUGCUGGAGGAAAAAGCAUGACAUAAGAUACAGGCACAGAGUACCAAGACAUUGAGACUGAGAAAACCUGCCCCGAGUCACAUUCACCUUCAGAAGACUCCUUUGUGAGACGCUGAGGGCCUGGCCCUCCUCCUCCUCCUCCAGAGAACAGCCCGCCACUAUCCACAGACCUCGCAGGCCCGACUUAGCGUGCUCUGCCCUGCCCAAGAACCCAAGGGUCCCUGUGUGGAUUAUCCGGCCAGCGAGUGGUCCUUUGAGGCUCCCAGCACAGGCCUGUGAUGAGGACCGAGGAGGUGUCUGUGGUCAGGAGUCCUCCGAACCCUUGCAAGGCAAUUUUCCUGGGUUGCUAAAGAGUAAUGUUGACCAGGUGUGCAAAUUCCCUUUGGCCUAUCCCUCCCUUGGUUCCUGUGGGGAGGUCCUGCUGACACGCUUUAGAAACCCCCCUCUCCAGAAUGCUUCUCUGAUGGAAGGCUCCAACAGCUCUUCCCAAAGCAGCCGAGGCUGGAUUACAACGGGGUGAGGGUACGGGGGUGGUAAAAAUGACCCUGUUUCACAGAAGGGAUGGGGGAAAAAAAGCACAUACUCAAUAGAUUUUGAGUGUGGUAUUCUGUAUUUUUGCAGCUUAUAUUUUCCAGAUGAGCAGUUUAGAAAUAUGUGAUGUAAAGUACACACUGUACAUUUGCUGAAAAUUAUAUUAAAAGCACUAUUUUAAUUCUU